CAAUUUUUCGUUUCUCACAGGCUUUCUCUUCUGCAACGCCGAGACUCCGCCCUUCAAUCCCAACGUCCUUUACCGCCACCGUCCAAACCACGCUUCAACACCACCAUCAAAGCUCCCACUUAGGGUUGGAUUUAGAUUGGUUGGGUAUCGAUGAUUUUGAGGUGGAGCAUGAGGUCCGACCCGAUUUCCCAUGUCCGUAUUGCUACAAGGACUUUGAUAUCGUGUCAUUUUGUUCGCAUCUAAAAGACGAGCACUUGGGCGAAUCCAAAGUCACUCUGUGGAUUUCUUCAACCAAGUGAAUUUACAGAAUGGUACCCUCACAGAAUUCUGUACUAAUAAGAAUUGUCCUAUAGUGACUGCAGGCCCCAAAUAAAAUAGUAUCACCACCUGGAAAAUCCGAGGAGCAAGUUGAAAGAGGAUCACACUCAAAGUCAACAGCCCCCGCGCUAUCCGAGAAGCAAGUUUUACAUAAUUCUCAUUCUUUAAUUAUGUAAAACUUCCCAGUAAUCACCAACUAUAAACAAUAAUUAUGUCUCAUUUCCUUUACUAUUUAAAACUAUAUAGAAUGAAUUAUGUCACAAUUCCUUAACUACUAAUUAUUUUAUACCAGACUUGUAGCUCUCAGCCACACAUUUGAAUCUUAUUCAACCACAUGAAGUUUCUCAUCAAUUGCCUUAGCCCUAUGGGAAAAGCUUAGGAAUAUUGAUGCAAUUGGGACUAUAAAAAGGGAUGUAAUAGAGAGGAACAUGCACUGAGUGAAAUUAAGCUGUGUGAAGAUCUAAAGAAAAAAAAAAAAAAAACAGUGCUUUGUUCAGAGUGGAGGUCUUGUUGCGAUCAUGGCUUCACUGGGUUUCUAGAGAGGUAUUAUUGUAUUUUUCAAAUUUAUUGUGAACUUAAGUUUUGGACAUA
Long non-coding RNA from Quercus robur (English oak), 909 nucleotides. RefSeq lists it as uncharacterized. The record is from RefSeq and is a predicted model, not a curated record. NCBI's taxonomy places the organism in Eukaryota, Viridiplantae, Streptophyta, Magnoliopsida, Fagales, Fagaceae. The transcript is spliced from 4 exons.